This 279-nucleotide ribosomal RNA is filed under the name uncultured Glomeromycotina. Its description in RNAcentral is "partial 28S ribosomal RNA". The record is from RNAcentral. Lineage: Eukaryota; Fungi; Glomeromycota.
GAUCAGCUUGCUUCGCGGAGCUUGCGCAUUUCCUCGCAUGGCAGGUCAGCGUCAGUUUUGCGCGGCGUGAAAAGGCUCGGGUAAGGUAGCUCUCUUCGGGGAGUGUUAUAGACCUGGGCAAAUGCGCAGCGCGGGACUGAGGAUUGCAGCGGACACCUCUUCGGAGGCGCGGCGACCGAACCCUGCUCGGCCACCCUCGUUCGAUAGCGUGCUAACGGACGCGGGAGCGGCAGUGCACCGGAACAGGCAAGCCAGCGGUUCGCUUAGGAUGCUGACGUA